RNAcentral lists this ribosomal RNA (329 nucleotides) under Trechus barnevillei. RNAcentral describes it as "partial 16S ribosomal RNA". Lineage: Eukaryota; Metazoa; Arthropoda; Insecta; Coleoptera; Carabidae. The record is from RNAcentral.
UUAAAUGGCUGCAGUAAUUUGACUGUACAAAGGUAGCAUAAUCAUUAGUUUUUUAAUUAAAAGCUUGUAUGAAAGGUUGGACGAAAUAAAAUCUGUCUCUUUUUAAGUAAAAUUAGAAUUUUAUUUUUAAGUUAAAAAGCUUAAAUUUUUAUAAAAGACGAGAAGACCCUAUAGAGUUUUAUAGUUUUAAUUUAAUUAUUAAUUUAGAUUUAUUAAUUUUAUUUUAUUAAAAUUAUUUUAUUGGGGUAAUAAAAAGAUUAAAAUAAUUCUUUUUUUUAUAAAUCAUUAAUAUAUGAAAUUUUUAUGAUCCAUUAAGUUUUGAAUAUAAG